CAAUUAGCCACUCAGCACAUGCACUGUCUAAUUGUUUUUCAAAUUCUUUUUAAAGGGACUGAAUAAUUCCUGCGUGAGCCAUGGCUAAUGUAGAAUAUCUUUUUUUUUUUUAAUAUAUAGGGAAUCUUGGGAGUGGGGAAUCAGCUUUAGCAAAAUCUUAUAACCCUCUUUCCAUUGAACAGGUUGAAACAGACGACAAAGACAUUCAAUAUCAAAAAGCCAGAGAUUUGGGAAAUCUUCUACCUCCAGCUAUUUUCUCUACCUUGUUUUUUUUCCCUCCUCCUUAUUUUCAAGGGGAUAGUAUUUGGAGGAAAUUGUACCUCUUCUCUUUGUUUCCUUCAGCUAUGUUUUAAUAGAAAGGAUGCUUGUGCUGACAAGUUUGUGAACCCCGCUGUGGCCGGAUUGUGUAAACCUUGCACACCUCCACAUUUCUCGCAAAGUCAAUGGGGAGUCUCCAUUGUGCGAGGAUUGUGGCAUGAGGCCCCUGGUUUGCUUUAAUGCAAUGGUGGAGUAACUAGCGCCUGCAAUGACUGCUUGGUUGAAGAUACUCGCUAACGAGAUUUGGGUAUGGCACAAAUAUAGCAGUGGUUUAUUUAGGCAACUGACUUGUCAGAGGCGGGCACAGCAUGGUAGUCCUUCCUGAAGAUACGUGUAUGGAGGAGGACACAUAAACGACAUUACUCCAUCUUCCCAGACUCAAUGGAAUUAGAUGGAAAAGCCUGGAUGGAUGUCUUGUCCACCUCCCACCCCUGCGGUAUGGUGCUGUUAGGAUUCUGAUCACUUUGCAAGCAGAAAUAAGAGGAAUGCAAGCCUUAGAGUCUGCGUAUGUGGAACUGUAUAUUAUUAUUUGUAUUGUGGUAGCUAUGUUGUGUUAGUACUAUGCAAACAUCAACAAAAGAGCAUUCCUACCCUGAAGAGUUUACAAUCUAAUUAUAAGACAGGAGGCAAGAGGUGGAUGCAAGUAGCAGAUGUGGAAAGUACAAGGUAACAAUCUGACAACUAUGAUCAGCGGGAUAGGCACUGGUCACAGCACAUCUACUAACAUCAUAACUCUCCUUCUCCUUUAUCUGUCAAAUGUUUUGGCAAAUCUAGAUGGAAGAGGGGAGGGAACAAAUGAGAAGGCUUGGAAACAGAGUGAUUAAUUAUUAAGGUGUCCAGAUCUCUUUACUAGUGUCUCCCUUAAGCCACAUUUAUGUGACUAG
This is a long non-coding RNA of Trachemys scripta elegans, 1202 nucleotides long. RefSeq lists it as uncharacterized. Lineage: Eukaryota; Metazoa; Chordata; Testudines; Emydidae. The transcript is spliced from 4 exons. The record is from RefSeq and is a predicted model, not a curated record.